This 1374-nucleotide ribosomal RNA is filed under the name Leuconostoc citreum. RNAcentral describes it as "bacterial SSU rRNA". It matches the Rfam family "Bacterial small subunit ribosomal RNA", at positions 64 to 1424 of the family's 1533-position model. Lineage: Bacteria; Bacillati; Bacillota; Bacilli; Lactobacillales; Lactobacillaceae. The record is from RNAcentral.
GCGCAGCGAGAGGUGCUUGCACCUUUCAAGCGAGUGGCGAACGGGUGAGUAACACGUGGAUAACCUGCCUCAAGGCUGGGGAUAACAUUUGGAAACAGAUGCUAAUACCGAAUAAAACUUAGUAUCGCAUGAUAUCAAGUUAAAAGGCGCUACGGCGUCACCUAGAGAUGGAUCCGCGGUGCAUUAGUUAGUUGGUGGGGUAAAGGCUUACCAAGACAAUGAUGCAUAGCCGAGUUGAGAGACUGAUCGGCCACAUUGGGACUGAGACACGGCCCAAACUCCUACGGGAGGCUGCAGUAGGGAAUCUUCCACAAUGGGCGCAAGCCUGAUGGAGCAACGCCGCGUGUGUGAUGAAGGCUUUCGGGUCGUAAAGCACUGUUGUAUGGGAAGAAAUGCUAAAAUAGGGAAUGAUUUUAGUUUGACGGUACCAUACCAGAAAGGGACGGCUAAAUACGUGCCAGCAGCCGCGGUAAUACGUAUGUCCCGAGCGUUAUCCGGAUUUAUUGGGCGUAAAGCGAGCGCAGACGGUUGAUUAAGUCUGAUGUGAAAGCCCGGAGCUCAACUCCGGAAUGGCAUUGGAAACUGGUUAACUUGAGUGUUGUAGAGGUAAGUGGAACUCCAUGUGUAGCGGUGGAAUGCGUAGAUAUAUGGAAGAACACCAGUGGCGAAGGCGGCUUACUGGACAACAACUGACGUUGAGGCUCGAAAGUGUGGGUAGCAAACAGGAUUAGAUACCCUGGUAGUCCACACCGUAAACGAUGAAUACUAGGUGUUAGGAGGUUUCCGCCUCUUAGUGCCGAAGCUAACGCAUUAAGUAUUCCGCCUGGGGAGUACGACCGCAAGGUUGAAACUCAAAGGAAUUGACGGGGACCCGCACAAGCGGUGGAGCAUGUGGUUUAAUUCGAAGCAACGCGAAGAACCUUACCAGGUCUUGACAUCCUUUGAAGCUUUUAGAGAUAGAAGUGUUCUCUUCGGAGACAAAGUGACAGGUGGUGCAUGGUCGUCGUCAGCUCGUGUCGUGAGAUGUUGGGUUAAGUCCCGCAACGAGCGCAACCCUUAUUGUUAGUUGCCAGCAUUCAGUUGGGCACUCUAGCGAGACUGCCGGUGACAAACCGGAGGAAGGCGGGGACGACGUCAGAUCAUCAUGCCCCUUAUGACCUGGGCUACACACGUGCUACAAUGGCGUAUACAACGAGUUGCCAACCUGCGAAGGUGAGCUAAUCUCUUAAAGUACGUCUCAGUUCGGACUGCAGUCUGCAACUCGACUGCACGAAGUCGGAAUCGCUAGUAAUCGCGGAUCAGCACGCCGCGGUGAAUACGUUCCCGGGUCUUGUACACACCGCCCGUCACACCAUGGGAGUUUGUAAUGCCCAA